GGAGAGCCAUCAUAUGUUGCGACAUAAGAUCAAUUCGAGGAGGGAAUUGUUGUUGUUGCGCCAGACUAUGUAAUAAACCAGAAUGAUCUCCGUGGAGAAGACCAGGAUCAGUGACCCAAUGAGGUUGCACAACGUUACCAAGGGUAGGACCACACGAGGCAUAUCUAGCCAAAUUACCACCAUAGUGAGGCCCGUGUGAGGGUCCUGAAAGAUGAAAUCUAGAGUUUGACAGCGGGGAAGGUGGGGUGAAAUUCAUCUGAGAACCGCUGGGAAGAGAAGGAGCGCGGUGGAGGCUUCCAGGUGAAGUCUGCUGAGAUCUGCUGCCUGGCGGGGGAAAGGAGGUGAAAGUUGAUUCUGGUACAAUGAUCGGUUCACUAUUGUAGUGUUGCAACGGUGGUGGCUGCUGAGGGUAAGAGGAUGUCCUGUAUAAAGGUUGUGAAUGAGCAGAUGACUGUGGCUGCGAGGACCAUCUGUUAGCCUCUUGAUCUUGCUCGUCCAACCAGUUUGUGAGCUCUGUAUCGUGAGUCCAAUCGGUGGCAGAAGAACCUAAAGAUGAAGUACAUUCAGGUUAAGAAGAACCCUAAAGGUAUACAGUAUACAGUAGUAAGCAAGUUAAGAAUUAAACUCACUCUCUCUUGAAAAGGAACCAGAUCCUCUGUCACCAAUAACUCCAAGGUGUUUGGGUCCUGUGACAUUUCUAUUUAGCUACACAAAGAAAAUAAGUAGAUUUAGAAUCACUAACAAACAAGAGUUCAAAGCUGAAGAACAAGAACAGGUAUAACAUGGCAGUUAAAGAUAUUAAGAUCACUAAAAAAGCAGUUUUUGCAACAAAAAAGAAGUUAAAAAAACCUUUGCAAAAGUCGUGGCAAGAUCAUCCAUGUCAGAUAAUGACCCUAAACCUGCACCCUGCAAUAAUCAACAUGUAUGUAUUAGUAAAACAUCAUCACGUGGUAGCUUUCAGAAGAGAAAACACAUUACCUCUCCUUUAUUAAACAAGUGAUACUCGUCAUCAUCAGGAGAAGUAUGUCCAAGAACAGGAGCGACCACUUCGUCAUCGUCAAUGCCUCCUAAUGACAUUUCGUCAAGGUUUUGCCCAAAAAACUCAUACUGAGAUGCAUCAAAGAGCUUACUAUUUGAAUCUGCAGAUACAAAACACAGCCAGUUUCAGCAGACAAUGCCACAAACACAUGGACUUAAAGCUCUAAGACUUUCAAUCAAAGGGAUAACAACAACAAAAGCAAAACUCAAAAAAAAAAAAAAAAGAGAGAAGCUUUUUAGUAUUCAAAAAGGUUUGAUCAUUCAUGAAAUUGGAGAACAAGAAGAACAACUACACAAAAAAAAAAAAAACAAAACCCAUACAGACAUAAUCUACAGGAAAACACAAGACCAGACAGAAGACAAUUAGCAUAAAUUUCAUCCCUUUAUGUGCUUUUCUCACUCGUAAAACGAACCACAAAGCAACACGGAUCUCAGCUAACAACACAAAGAGAAGAAAGAAACAUCCUUUCGAUGAGAUAAAAAGGGAGUGACCUGAGGAAGAGCGAACAAAGUUGUACAAGUCCCUGGAAUCAGAUCUCUCCAUGAUCGGAGGAUAAAAAGAGCGAAACUUUAGAAAUUAGAGGAUGCGAGAGAAGGAAGAGAAGUCGUAUUCCUUCGCGCUAGGGUUUUCCCAGAUGGGGACGCGGAGAGAGAGAGAAUGAUCAACCCAUCACAGAUUCAGAGUUGAUCUGACCACCCCUUGCAUGCGACGCAGACUCACUAACGGCCGACGGUUUACGACCAAAGUUUAACAAAUAGUUCCUCUGGUCGUCAUUGGUAUGACGGAGGCUCGCACGUAAAAGCUCAGCGGGCAUUUCUCUCUUUAUCGCCAGCUCCAAAACAUCCGCUGCACUCCCUUGGUUCUGCCUACGGAUCGUCUCAUACUUGCUCCUGCAGUAUUUAGUAAGCAGGUUGAAGAACUCAUUAAACGAGGCUCUCCAUAGGCCAUCAUUAGAGCUCCCAUGGACGGCUCGAGGAACCACCACUACUUCAGCAGCUCUCUCGAGAAGUGAUAUCAAGACAACCGAAGCACCAUCCCCAGAAGAGCUUCCAAUAGGACGCAGAGGUGGCUGCUCUGAAGAACAAACCACAGCUGCAAGGCAAGCACUCAGCGCUCGGAGGUCCAUAGCUUGAACACAGACCGUGACUGCCUUGGCAAGAUUAGCAAUCGUCUCUGCUGCUAGAGUAUCCGAAGGCAAGCCGCCGAAGAGAAACCUCAAGUGGCGGAAUAUAGCCAUACAGACAACUCGAGCAAUCUCAGUGCCUGGAACUAGAAGCUGUAUGUACUUCGUAAGCAUUUUCCGACCCUUUGGAAGAGUUGCUAUACGCAGAAACACAACAUCAUCCUUAGCAGUCAGCCCUGACUUCUGACCGGUUUUGCUGAACGGAUCAGCAAGCUGAAGUGCCGUCGCUAGACCUUCAAGGAGGAUCUGGCGUUUUCUCUUCACCUGAGCGCCUCCGUCUUGAGGCCUUGUGGACUGGAGAGUCCUGUCAAUGUCAACUAUGUCGAUAAGAACUCCUAGAGCAUCUUCAAUUGUAACCCUAGCUGCCACAAGUGGUUCCUGCUCCAAAUGUUUCCCUGAGCCCUUUUGAUCAUUAGAACCAGGAGAAGAAGAAGAGUCAACCUCAAGCAAGGCACGUGGCCUGCGAAUAUAGGGAAGCGUGAUCUUCCCAAGAGCAUCUACAUGAACUUGUUGUUGAUGCUGUUCAGAACUAUUAUUACGGGACUUAGGUUGGUGGUGGUGGUCUUUCAACUGAGAAGGGUAGAAGAGAGUGAUUGCUCUACUAGAUCCAGAAGACUUCUUGGCAAGGCGAGCUUGGUGGUAAUAAUCAUUGACAUAAGGAUCGUUGCUGUGUGAAUUAGAGUGCUGCAUCUUGAGUAUACUCUCUAUUUCCUCUGAAGUCAUGUACUUUGAUCUAAACUGCAAUCCACUCUCGCUUUUCUGACUAGCUGCGUCUGAUGCCUGUUGAGAUAUGCCUUUGUUCUUUCGACUCCUAUGAGAAGACUUAUGCUUGUGUUGUUCCCUAACUUCACCACCCCCAAAAGAGACUUUACGUGAUGGUGAUGGAUAAGACCUGUACAGCUGAGACUGUAGCGCUGCAAGCUGAGCAUACGAUUGUCUCUGCUGGAGAGCCAUCAUAUGUUGCGACAUAAGAUCAAUUCGAGGAGGGAAUUGUUGUUGUUGCGCCAGACUAUGUAAUAAACCAGAAUGAUCUCCGUGGAGAAGACCAGGAUCAGUGGCCCAAUGAGGUUGCACAACGUUACCAAGGGUAGGACCACACGAGGCAUAUCUAGCCAAAUUACCACCAUAGUGAGGCCCGUGUGAGGGUCCUGAAAGAUGAAAUCUAGAGUUUGACAGCGGGGAAGGUGGGGUGAAAUUCAUCUGAGAACCGGUGGGAAGAGAAGGAGCGCGGUGGAGGCUUCCAGGUGAAGUCUGCUGAGAUCUGCUGCCUGGCGGGGGAAAGGAGGUGAAAGUUGAUUCUGGUACAAUGAUUGGUUCACUAUUGUAGUGUUGCAACGGUGGUGGCUGCUGAGGGUAAGAGGAUGUCCUGUAUAAAGGUUGUGAAUGAGCAGAUGACUGUGGCUGCGAGGACCAUCUGUUAGCCUCUUGAUCUUGCUCGUCCAACCAGUUUGUGAGCUCUGUAUCGUGAGUCCAAUCGGUGGCAGAAGAACC
Molecule: long non-coding RNA, 3713 nt
Filed under: Brassica napus (rape)
Lineage: Eukaryota; Viridiplantae; Streptophyta; Magnoliopsida; Brassicales; Brassicaceae
Description: long non-coding RNA (BNAP_LNC017665)
Source: RNAcentral